AACGAACGCUGGCGGCAGGCUUAACACAUGCAAGUCGAGCGAGGUUUUCGGACCUAGCGGCGGACGGGUGAGUAACGCGUGGGAACGUGCCCUUUGCUACGGAAUAGCCUCUGGAAACGGAGAGUAAUACCGUAUGUGCCCGGUAACGGGGAAAGAUUUAUCGGCAAAGGAUCGGCCCGCGUUGGAUUAGGUAGUUGGUGGGGUAAUGGCCUACCAAGCCGACGAUCCAUAGCUGGUUUGAGAGGAUGAUCAACCACACUGGGACUGAGACACGGACCAGACUCCUACGGGAGGCAGCAGUGGGGAAUCUUAGACGAUGGGGGCAACCCUGAUCUAGCCAUGCCGCGUGAGUGAUGAAGGCCUUAGGGUUGUAAAGCUCUUUCAGCUGGGAAGAUAAUGACGGUACCAGCAGAAGAAGCCCCGGCUAACUCCGUGCCAGCCGCCGCCGUAA
RNAcentral lists this ribosomal RNA (451 nucleotides) under uncultured bacterium. RNAcentral's name for it is "partial 16S ribosomal RNA". It matches the Rfam family "Bacterial small subunit ribosomal RNA", at positions 29 to 523 of the family's 1533-position model. The record is from RNAcentral.